Non-coding RNA from Podarcis lilfordi (Lilford's wall lizard), 245 nucleotides. The record is from the annotation of a GenBank genome assembly. NCBI's taxonomy places the organism in Eukaryota, Metazoa, Chordata, Lepidosauria, Squamata, Lacertidae.
ACCUGGGAUAGCUCAGUCGGCAGAGCAUGAGACUUGUACCGUAUUUUUUGCUCUAUAACACGCACCCGACCAUAACACGCACAUAGUUUUUAGAGGAGGAAAAUCCGUAGGCAUGCCACCCAUAGGCAUUUCCUCCAUAACACGCACAGACAUUUUCCCUUACUUUCUAGGAGGAAAAAAGUGAGUGUUAUGGUGCAAAAAAUACGGUAAUUUGAAGAUUGUGGGUUCGAGCCCCAUGUUGGGUG